RNAcentral lists this long non-coding RNA (3285 nucleotides) under Sus scrofa (pig). RNAcentral's name for it is "lncRNA (ENSSSCG00030045872.1)". The record is from RNAcentral. Lineage: Eukaryota; Metazoa; Chordata; Mammalia; Artiodactyla; Suidae.
UUUUUUUUUUUUUCCUUUCUCCUUCUUGAUGUUUGUUUCUGAUUGUGAGAGCUCAGAGGUAAAUUUAUUCCUUGUUUCAGAUCAAAAAGUAAAUUAAAACAAUCCUGAAGACAGGGAACUCAAUUAUUUAAAGGACAGUGAGACAGUGAGUAUGACGUUGCAGAAGGUGGGCUGAACGUAGCUGGAGAGGGGAGCUGAGUGAGGGGUAGACAAGGCAUCUUACAGACACUUGAGCUUGUUGUAGAAGCUCUUUCAGAAUUUGCUCUGACCUUCCCUCUAGUCAGUGCUUUCAGCUCAGAUGCUUAUUUCCAGGGCUUCCAAACCCAGAGAAAUAAGAAAAAGAUCAAGUUUUAAGAAAUUACCUCUUCUAGGAGUUUGCGCUGUGGCUCAGCAGUAACGAACCUGACUAGUAACCAUGGGUUUGGUCCCUGGCCUCACUCAGUGGAUUAAGUAUCCAGCGUUGUCAUGAGCUGUGGUGUAGGUCACAGACAUGGCUCAAAUGCUGUGUGGCUGUGGCUGUGGCAUAUUCCAGCAGCUGAGCUCCAAUUCAACCCUUAGGCUGGGAACUUCUAUACGCCACAGGUAUGGCCCUAAAAAGAAAAAGAAAAAAAAAAAAAAGGAAAUUACCUCUUCUUGUGAUAAAAGGGGAAAAUAACAUAAUCCCCAGAUAUGCUUUCUGUUGCUGAUUGUCAUCUAGCAACCAGCAUUGCCUUCACUGAGUUCACACAACACCCCCCCCCAAAUCUAUCAGAGGUCACAGAACUUUCUUAAAUCAAUAAAGCCUGAUGAGAUAAGUUCUUUGAAAUCACAUCCAGGGAGUAAUAAAAUAGUUUUUGUCUCUAAACCCAAGAUCUUUCAUGGGCUUGGAACACAAGGGUAUUUUUUUUUAGCACCACCUCCUAUCAUAGCUACAAUAUCCUCUUGAUUUUUCUGGAAAUAGCUCAAGAAAUAUGCUGUCCCUGUCACUGCUCCCAGUGUGCUUCCCAGUAGGGAAGACCUUAGAAUUCUGCCAAUUAAAGGUACAUCAAGGAGCAGUAAGACAGGACCCAAAUCUGUAUAUUUUCUCUAAUAAGGUGUCUCUCCAAACAGCUUCCCAAGCUGUUGUGUGGACCUUUUAAGCUACUGCCAGGUGUCUUCUAUGGCCCUUCAAGAGGAACUCUUCCUGCUCCAAAAUUAAAUUGAUCUUCUUAUAGGACAGGACAGGAGGCAAGCACAGGUUUGAUUAUCAAAGGAUUUGACAAGCAUAGGUCCUGUCUUUAUUCUCAGCUCUUCUACGUUAAAGCCAGCUCCACAAUUUUGGUCUUCAGGUGGCAGAGAUGGAGAGACUCUAUUAAACUGCAAAAUAUGUCCACUUUAAAUGUAGCAGAAACAUCUGAAUUUUGUAGCUGUGAUCACUUGGUUUCUUUAUCGUUCAGGAAGGAAGCAUUUUCCCUUUCUCCUUACAUCAGCACACAUUUUCUUUGCUUUUGCAUUUGAACUCUAAGAGUGCUGGCCUUUUUAAAAAUUUAAUAAUUGUGCAUUAUUUUAAAUUUUAUUCUCCUGUAGCUCACCAGGAUCUUCUACCUCAGACAAAGUAAGACCUCAUGGCAGAAGAAGGAGCAAAUGAGACAACUGAUGAGUCCAAAUGAAGAACCACUUUAGGAAUAUGAUGUAUUUUAUAUGCAUAAAUUUUAUAUAGUUUUUCUUCUUUGUAAUGCUAGCUUUACUGAUGGCCUGAUCUACAGACACUUAUAUAAGUCUCCCAUAUACAAAUCAAAGAAUCCCCACCAUCUGUGUGCAAAGAGAGCUCCAUGGAGCAGGUUGUUGGCAAUGUCACCAGGCCAGGGACUCAGCAUCAUAUGAAAAUUUCCUACCAAAAGCGCUCGCAAGUCACUCUAGAAGCCAUAAAAAGUCAGAGUUUAUUUAACCAUGCUAGCUUUGUAUACUGUUUCUAAAUUGCAUUACUUAGGGGUUAUAUUCACUACAAUGUGUCAAAUCUAUGCUCUCUUGCCAAAUUUGUGCACCUCCAGAGGCAAAAUUCAUAAACGACUUUAAUGUUUAUAAAUGACUUUUUUCUUUUUACAAAAAAAAAUAAAAUAAUCAUAAAAAUCAGCAUAGUUACGAGUUCCCUGCUGGUCUAGUGGCUAGGACUCAGUGCUUUCACUGCUACAGCCCAGGGUUCAAUCCCUGGUCUGGGGAACUGAGUUAGGAGUUUGAUAAUUCUGGCUUAGCAUUUAUAUUGUCUUAGGCUAAAUUCACACAUGCACAUAUCCUGAACAACCUUGACACUGAACAUGGGCACAGGAGAGGCAAAGAUGCACUGUCAGAAGGCUCUCUAGCUUACAUUCACAGCACAACUGGGCUCUUUUAAAUCUCAGGAAUCUCCUUAAGUGUUGUCUACCAUUGAUCAGGCAGCCCUUGUGAGUCCCAGAAAUCCUUUCCUCCCCAAAUUCAUUAGUUGCCAUGCUGUGGCCUCCUCCAAGAGCUUAUCCUUAUUUGGGAGGAUAUAACAUUCCUCUGAGUUGAUUCUAUCCCUUGUCUGUCAAGAUAAGUAUUUACCAGAGUGUCUUCCUGGAAAUGCAAGUUCUAUGGGAUGUUCAUAGCUACUCAUACAAUAUGGCCAGGGGAGAUUCCAGUGGUCAAAUAGAACAUGCUGAGUUAAGCAAGGAUAAGUAGGAUCCUUUGUUACGAAAGUCUUCAAUAACCCAACUCAUCUUACGAAUCUUUUAAAAAGAAAAAUGGUAUUCAGAAUUUCCCACGAAAAUUUUUUGGUAAAAAUUUUCCCAAGACAAAGCAUUCCACAGUUACGCUAUUAGGAAAAGACUAGUCUAGAGAAAGAAAAACAACAUGAGGUGUGGUAACCAAAGUAGCAUGACUACGACUCGUGACUACAACCAUCUUUACUAGACAUAGGAAACAAAGUAAAAUUUGCUUGCAGUUGGUAAUGAUAAGACUUCCCCUUAUGAAUAACUCCUAGACGUAAUCAAUGGUGUUUGCUUUUCACUCACUGCUCUCUUAAGGGUUGAUAAUACAAUCAGGGUCAUUGAAGACUGGGUGACAAGUUCUGCAUCAUGUAUUCCUAUAGUGGUGGCAAUGGCCACAGUGGAAGUGAACUGCAGGCAGUAGUGGUGGGAAUAGGAGUUGGACUUCUAAACUUAAAAGUCAUACUGAAAAUAAUAUGAAUGGCAAAGAAAUGUAAAAAUGGUUGGAGGGAGUUCCUUCAUGACUAGCAGGUUAAGGAUCCAGAGCUGUCACAGCUAUGGCUCUGGUUACAGCUGUGGCAGGGGUUUGAUCCCUGGCCUGGGA